UCCUGACUGACCGAUAGUGAACCAGUACCGUGAGGGAAAGGCGAAAAGAACCCCGGCGAGGGGAGUGAAAAAGAACCUGAAACCGUGUACGUACAAGCAGUGGGAGCACGCUUAGGCGUGUGACUGCGUACCUUUUGUAUAAUGGGUCAGCGACUUAUAUUCUGUAGCAAGGUUAACCGAAUAGGGGAGCCGAAGGGAAACCGAGUCUUAACUGGGCGUUAAGUUGCAGGGUAUAGACCCGAAACCCGGUGAUCUAGCCAUGGGCAGGUUGAAGGUUGGGUAACACUAACUGGAGGACCGAACCGACUAAUGUUGAAAAAUUAGCGGAUGACUUGUGGCUGGGGGUGAAAGGCCAAUCAAACCGGGAGAUAGCUGGUUCUCCCCGAAAGCUAUUUAGGUAGCGCCUCGUGAAUUCAUCUCCGGGGGUAGAGCACUGUUUCGGCAAGGGGGUCAUCCCGACUUACCAACCCGAUGCAAACUGCGAAUACCGGAG
This 493-nucleotide ribosomal RNA is filed under the name Escherichia coli. RNAcentral describes it as "partial 23S ribosomal RNA". It matches the Rfam family "Bacterial large subunit ribosomal RNA", at positions 474 to 968 of the family's 2925-position model. RNAcentral also lists the same sequence under 1 other name. Lineage: Bacteria; Pseudomonadati; Pseudomonadota; Gammaproteobacteria; Enterobacterales; Enterobacteriaceae. The record is from RNAcentral.